Molecule: long non-coding RNA, 1115 nt
Filed under: Canis lupus familiaris (dog)
Lineage: Eukaryota; Metazoa; Chordata; Mammalia; Carnivora; Canidae
Description: lncRNA (ENSCAFG00845017795.1)
Source: RNAcentral
AAAAUUUUCUGUAAACUUUUCCUAGUUGUAUGGAGCAGUUUCUCAAUGUAUGGUCUGAUAGAGAGCUAUUAUAAGUAUCUACUCACUGGCAGAGUUGUGAAUAGAACAUAAACUUCUAACAUUUCCAGUCUCAUUUCCUAGAUUCAUUGGUUUUAUUUGUCUUAACAGAUUGCAACAAUGGAAGUCUUAGUUAAUCAUGAUGCCUGACAAAGAAAAUACAGACUAAAUAGUAGUUUUUAAAAAAAGUGUCUUUCAUAGCCAGUUCUUAUCUGAUUUUACUGAAACCGACUAUGUAAUUACAAAGGAACUAAGCCAUACUAUACAAACACAACUCAGUAAGAGAGGAAAGUAUCUAGUGCCUUCCUUUAAUACUAUCCCCCUCCCACCAUUUUGGAAAUAGCCUUAUGGAGCUGAGGGUCACCCAAGUGCCCUCUUGGAAUUCUCAGUUUUUCUCUUCCUUGCUUCAGCUGCUGUAUUUUGUAUGCCACAAAUUCUUGGAGGGAAAUAUAUGUUUUACUGACAUGUUUCCUACUAGCUUCAUGUUACAUAAAAAAAAAUGAAAAUAUAAUUAAGGGUUCGUGUUCUACACGUGCUUUACUUUGUCAUUACCUGAAAACAAGCUUUACCUUUGGAGUAUGGAUAAUAAUUUGACAAUUAUUUGGUCACAUGCUUUAAAUCUAAAAAAAAUUUGUAGCAAUUUUUCUUAUUUAUUUUUUACAGUCCGUAACUAUAACAGUGACAAAUUCCGACACGGCAAAUGACACUAUCUUUUGACACCUAGUUCUUUUUGUUUCCAAGGGCUCUGAGAAAGACUUCCAGCUGUGGGUGAGUUCUGGCAAGGAAAAACUUCCACUAACUGGUAAGUGUCAGGGAAAAUCUAAGAUGGGAUUGAUUAUUCCAUCUACUAAACUGCUGCCAAAGGAAGCAGAGGACUCCGUCUCUCCUUCCCCUACUCAGGAGUCCCUCCUUCUGGAGCAGAAGAUCACAGACAUGCAAAUCCAUUUCAUACUGAAGCCCAGGCACCCAGCCCAGAACAAGCAAGGGAGAGGUGAGCCACUUGCCUUUCUUCAAGUGCCUUCCCUUGGCUCAUGUCUCCAUGCUUAAACACAAUUCAG